RNAcentral lists this unclassified non-coding RNA (238 nucleotides) under Ewingella sp. 6 JD-2014. RNAcentral describes it as "partial may contain 16S ribosomal RNA, 16S-23S ribosomal RNA intergenic spacer, and 23S ribosomal RNA". The record is from RNAcentral. Lineage: Bacteria; Pseudomonadati; Pseudomonadota; Gammaproteobacteria; Enterobacterales; Yersiniaceae.
GGGGGGCAACGUUGGAACCUCCUUACCUAAAGAACGCAAUAUCAGUGCCACCAGAUUGUCUGAUAUAAAAAACUAUUGAAAUCCCUUUAUUGGUUGUAGUAAGGUGGCUAUAGCGUUCCCCCGGUAAUGGUGAGGUCGUUGGUUCAAGUCCACUCAUGCUUACCCCAUCUUUCCGUGUCCUAGUAUACUGUUUUAUUAUUGUUCUUAUACGAAUUUAAAAUAUCUUCGCUUUGUUAAU